Molecule: ribosomal RNA, 1428 nt
Filed under: metagenome
Description: bacterial SSU rRNA
Rfam family: Archaeal small subunit ribosomal RNA
Source: RNAcentral
UCCCGUUGAUCCUGCGGGAGGUCGCAGCUAUUAGGGUUCGACUAAGCCAUGCAAGUCAGGUAGCAAUACCGGCGGAAUGCUCAGUAACACGUCAAUAAUCUGCCCUUAAGUGUGGAAUAACCUUGGGAAACUGAGGCUAAUACCGCAUAAUUGAAAAGAACUGGAAUGUUUUUUCUAUUAAAGCUUCGGUGCUUAAGGAUGAGUUGGCGGUCGAUUAGGUUGUUGGUGAGGUAAAGGCUCACCAAGCCGAAGAUCGAUAGAGGCCUUGAGAGAGGUAGCCUCGAGAAGGGCACUGAGAUACUGGCCCUAGCCCUACGGGGUGCAGCAGGCGCGAAACCUUUACACUGCACGUAAGUGUGAUAAGGGAACCCUAAGUGCUCAUACUUUGUAUGGGCUUUUGCCAAGAGCAAAAAUCUUAGCGAAUAAGUGGUGGGAAAGACUGGUGCCAGCCGCCGCGGUAACACCAGCGCCACAAGUGGGGACCAUUUUUAUUUGGCCUAAAGCGUCCGUAGCCGGUUUGAAAAGUCUUCUGUGAAAUUGUUAAGCUCAACUUAACAACGUGCAAAAGAUACUUUCAAACUUGGAACUGGGAGGAGUUAGGAGUAUUCUAAGGGGAGCGGUAAAAUGCUAUAAUCCUUGGAGGACUGCCUGUGGCGAAGGCGCCUAACUAGAACAGAUUCGACGGUGAGGGACGAAAGCUGGGGGAGCGAUCCGGAUUAGAUACCCGAGUAGUCCCAGCUGUAAACUCUGCGAGCUAGGUGUUGCAUAUUUUUUAUAAAUAUGCAGUGUCGUAACGAAGGUUUAAGCUCGCCGCCUGGGAAGUAUGGUCGCAAGACUGAAACUUAAAGGAAUUGGCGGGGGAGCACUACAAGGGGUGCGGCGUGCGGUUUAAUUGAAUUCUACGCCGAAAAUUUCACCAGAGGCGACGGCAGGAUGAAAGUCAGGCUAAAGGCCUUACUAGACGAGCCGAGAGGUAGUGCAUGGCCGCCGUCAGCUCGUGCCGUGAGGUGUCCUGUUAAGUCAGGCAACGAGCGAGACCUGUAUCUACAAUUGCUAGCAACUCUAUCAGAGGUUUGAGCACAUUGUGGAGACUGCCCUGGAAACAGGGAGGAAGGUGCAGGCUACGGUAGGUCUGUAUGCUCCGAAUCCUCUGGGCUACACGCGCGCAACAAUGGUAGAGACAAAGGGAUACAACUCCGAAAGGAGAAGUUAACCCUCUAAACUCUAUCUUAGUUCAGAUCGAAGAUUGUAACUCAUCUUCGUGACGAUGGAAUCCCUAGUAAUCGGAAGUCAUUAUCUUCCGGUGAAUAUGUCCCUGCUCCUUGCACACACCGCCCGUCAAACCAACCGAGCAGGGUCUAGAUGAGAUUUAGUUUUUAAUUAACUCGAAUCUGGGCUCAGUGAGGUGGGUUAAGUCGUCACAAGGUA